GCCGGGCAUGGUGGUGCAUGCCUGUAAUCCCAGCAGCCCUGGAGGCUGAGGCAGGAGGAUCACGAAUUCAAAGCCAGUCUCAG
RNAcentral lists this small RNA (83 nucleotides) under Marmota monax (woodchuck). The record is from RNAcentral. Lineage: Eukaryota; Metazoa; Chordata; Mammalia; Rodentia; Sciuridae.